GUGUCAGCAGCCGCGGUAAUACGGAGGGGGCUAGCGUUGUUCGGAAUUACUGGGCGUAAAGCGUACGUAGGCGGAUGCGCAAGUUGGGGGUGAAAUCCCGGGGCUUAACCUUGGAAUUGCCUCCAAAACUGGUCGGCUUGAGUGUGGAAGAGGGUUGUGGAAUUCCCAGUGUAGAGGUGAAAUUCGUAGAUAUUGGGAAGAACACCAGUGGCGAAGGCGACAACCUGGUCCAUUACUGACGCUGAGGCGCGACAGCGUGGGGAGCAAACAGGAUUAGAUACCCUGGUAGUCCACGCUGUAAACGAUGAGUGCUAGACGUCGGCGGUUUAACUGUCGGUGUCGCAGCUAACGCAUUAAGCACUCCGCCUGGGGAGUACGGUCGCAAGAUUAAA
RNAcentral lists this ribosomal RNA (392 nucleotides) under uncultured bacterium. RNAcentral describes it as "bacterial SSU rRNA". It matches the Rfam family "Bacterial small subunit ribosomal RNA", at positions 505 to 898 of the family's 1533-position model. The record is from RNAcentral.